UACGGAGGGUGCAAGCGUUAAUCGGAAUUACUGGGCGUAAAGCGUGCGUAGGCGGUUUAUUAAGUCAGAUGUGAAAGCCCCGGGCUUAACCUGGGAACUGCAUUUGAUACUGGUAGACUAGAGUAUGGUAGAGGGGGGUAGAAUUCCUAGUGUAGCGGUGAAAUGCGUAGAUAUUAGGAGGAAUACCAGUGGCGAAGGCGGCCCCCUGGACCAAUACUGACGCUGAGGUACGAAAGCGUGGGUAGCGAACAGG
This 253-nucleotide ribosomal RNA is filed under the name uncultured bacterium. RNAcentral describes it as "partial 16S ribosomal RNA". It matches the Rfam family "Bacterial small subunit ribosomal RNA", at positions 524 to 776 of the family's 1533-position model. The record is from RNAcentral.